RNAcentral lists this ribosomal RNA (254 nucleotides) under uncultured bacterium. RNAcentral describes it as "partial 16S ribosomal RNA". It matches the Rfam family "Bacterial small subunit ribosomal RNA", at positions 524 to 776 of the family's 1533-position model. The record is from RNAcentral.
UACGGGGGGAGCAAGCGUUGUUCGGAUUUACUGGGCGUAAAGGGCGCGUAGGCGGUCAGCACAAGUCAGUUGUGAAAUCUCCGAGCUUAACUCGGAAAGGUCAACUGAUACUGUGCGACUAGAGUGCAGAAGGGGCAACUGGAAUUCUUGGUGUAGCGGUGAAAUGCGUAGAUAUCAAGAGGAACACCUGCGGCGAAGGCGGGUUGCUGGGCUGACACUGACGCUGAAGCGCGAAAGCCAGGGGAGCGAACAGG